AUUGAACGCUGGCGGCAUGCUUUACACAUGCAAGUCGAACGGUAACAGGGAGCUUGCUCCGCUGACGAGUGGCGAACGGGUGAGUAAUAUAUCGGAACGUACCCAAGAGUGGGGGAUAACGUAGCGAAAGUUACGCUAAUACCGCAUACGAUCCAAGGAUGAAAGCAGGGGACCGCAAGGCCUUGUGCUCCUGGAGCGGCCGAUAUCUGAUUAGCUAGUUGGUAGGGUAAAGGCCUACCAAGGCAUCGAUCAGUAGCUGGUCUGAGAGGACGACCAGCCACACUGGAACUGAGACACGGUCCAGACUCCUACGGGAGGCAGCAGUGGGGAAUUUUGGACAAUGGGCGCAAGCCUGAUCCAGCAAUGCCGCGUGAGUGAAGAAGGCCUUCGGGUUGUAAAGCUCUUUUGUCAGGGAAAAACGGGCGUGGCUAAUAUCCAUGUCUAAUGACGGUACCUGAAGAAUAAGCACUGGCUAACUACGUGCCAGCAGCCGCGGUAAUACGUAGGGUGCAAGCGUUAAUCGGAAUUACUGGGCGUAAAGCGUGCGCAGGCGGUUUUGUAAGUCUGUCGUGAAAUCCCCGGGCUCAACCUGGGAAUGGCGAUGGAGACUGCAAGGCUAGAAUCUGGCAGAGGGGGGUAGAAUUCCACGUGUAGCAGUGAAAUGCGUAGAGAUGUGGAGGAACACCGAUGGCGAAGGCAGCCCCCUGGGUCAAGAUUGACGCUCAUGCACGAAAGCGUGGGGAGCAAACAGGAUUAGAUACCCUGGUAGUCCACGCCCUAAACGAUGUCUACUAGUUGUCGGGUCUUAAUUGACUUGGUAACGCAGCUAACGCGUGAAGUAGACCGCCUGGGGAGUACGGUCGCAAGAUUAAAACUCAAAGGAAUUGACGGGGACCCGCACAAGCGGUGGAUGAUGUGGAUUAAUUCGAUGCAACGCGAAAAACCUUACCUACCCUUGACAUGGAGGAAUCCUUGAGAGAUUGAGGAGUGCCCGAAAGGGAACCUUUACACAGGUGCUGCAUGGCUGUCGUCAGCUCGUGUCGUGAGAUGUUGGGUUAAGUCCCGCAACGAGCGCAACCCUUGUCAUUAGUUGCUACGAAAGGGCACUCUAAUGAGACUGCCGGUGACAAACCGGAGGAAGGUGGGGAUGACGUCAAGUCCUCAUGGCCCUUAUGGGUAGGGCUUCACACGUCAUACAAUGGUACAUACAGAGGGCCGCCAACCCGCGAGGGGGAGCUAAUCCCAGAAAGUGUAUCGUAGUCCGGAUUGUAGUCUGCAACUCGACUGCAUGAAGUUGGAAUCGCUAGUAAUCGCGGAUCAACAUGUCGCGGUGAAUACGUUCCCGGGUCUUGUACACACCGCCCGUCACACCAUGGGAGCGGGUUUUACCAGAAGUAGGUAGCUUAACCGCAAGGAGGGCGCUUACCACGGUAGGAUUCGUGACUGGGGUG
RNAcentral lists this ribosomal RNA (1451 nucleotides) under uncultured bacterium. RNAcentral's name for it is "bacterial SSU rRNA". It matches the Rfam family "Bacterial small subunit ribosomal RNA". The record is from RNAcentral.